This is a long non-coding RNA of Aethalodelphis obliquidens (Pacific white-sided dolphin), 1718 nucleotides long. RefSeq lists it as uncharacterized. The transcript has 2 exons. The record is from RefSeq and is a predicted model, not a curated record. Lineage: Eukaryota; Metazoa; Chordata; Mammalia; Artiodactyla; Delphinidae.
UGAAUACUCCCUUAUUGCACUGUGUUUUGUCUGCAUGCGAACCCCCUCAGCCUCGACGCUGCUGCUGAUUUCUUGCCAGGUCCACUCCCCUGCGCUCUUACUGCCUCCCCUCUGGCCCCGCUAAAUCUGCGCUCCCCAGCUUCUUCCUUGUUAAGUCUGGGUGGGACCCAGCCUGAUGGCUCUGGAGGCACGCAGACCUUGGCAGACAGAGUGUGGGGGCUCUCGAGAUCCGGGUCGGGGGUAGGGUAAGGCAGGUCUCCGAAUUUGGGGAGCAAAGCUGAGGCCAAAGCCACAGAACACGAGGUGGGCGGGGAGGAGCGGUGCUGAGAUGAUGGGCCCCAGGGCAGGGCUGAUGGGGGGUCCAGAGACCCCUCCCAGGCAUAGGAGGAAACAGAUACACAUCAGCCGCCCAGAUGAGAAGAGGGAGCCCCGUCCCAGGGUCUGAAAAUGCAACGGGAAAACCAGGACGGGCCCCUGAGCUCCCACCUGCCUUCCUGCCAGCUGCCAUGUGCCCUCUGCAGCCCUGCUGCUGAACUGACCCCGGGCCAAACCAAAGCUGGAGGUGGGUAGGUGGGACCCCGGGGCCCAGCAUGGGGCAGCACCUGGCCUGGGUCCUGCAGCAUCUGAGCCAAGAGACAUGGAGGGCAGGGAGUGGUGCCCCUGUGCUCUGCCCUGUGGCCAUCUCCCUGCCCUCCCCUCUGCCUCAGGGAGCGUGGGAGAGUUUCUGACAACAUCCCAGGUUCCAGAAACCUGAGCCAAUAGGAGCUGCUCAGCUGCUCCCAGGGCCAGGCUGCCUCUGCACCUGUCUUCAGGUGACUCUGCUCCUCCUAAGUCCGAGGAACAGGAACAGGUACCGGCGCUGGGCCCGCUCUGAGUGCUCUGCGGGGCUUAGCCCGGGCAUCCUCCACCGCUCUGUGAGAUAGGAAGCUUGCCGAGCACAGACAGCUGGUAAGUAGCGUCAGGAUUUGAACCCAGGCACUGCCGACAGAGACCUCCACCACGAAGCAAGACAGGUCGGAAGGGCAGAGCCAGUGAGGCCCUUAGAAGUCACCUCCUCCAGCGCCUACAUUUCACAGCCAGAGAAGCAGACCCAAAGAGGAGAAGAGACGCAGCGAAGGAAACUCAGUGAUCUAUUGGAGCCAGCCCAGACCCUGGACUCAGAAAGUUAGAGCUGCUGGGCAGAAAUGGGCACCCCAGAUUGUCUCACCCACUCCCACCCCUAGGUACCUAGCCAUGCGGUGCUCGGUCUUCUCAUCUGUUUCCCCCUUUCCCAUCUCCUCCCGUCACGCCCAAGCCUCCAGCUGCAGCUCCCUCAGCCUCGCGGACUCAGCUCUGCCCCUGGCCGUGCCCUGCUGCCUUUGCUAAGCCCCCUCUUCCACCGCCCUCGCUCUGGAAAUGCAGGGUCUUUCUGCUGGAGGUGGGGCUUCCCCACAGCUACCUGUUUACCCUGCGGUAUGAGUCGUCAGCACUCUGGAAAUGUUGAAGUCAUGGAGGAGGGGAAGGAAGUGGGGGAAAUAGGAGUGUAGGCAGGGAGCUUUUUAUAGGCCCUUUGCAGAGCUGGCCUCCAGCUCACUGUUUCUUCAGGAACAUGGCAAUCAAUGUGUUACGUAGAACUCGGCUGGCUUGCUGACCGCUGGUGCCUGGGACAUCGAGAGAGGUGAAAGCACUGGAAAAAAAAAAAAAAGAGGAGAAAAUUAUUUUCCUGCUCGUAGAUCUCA